Molecule: non-coding RNA, 2009 nt
Organism: Amborella trichopoda
Lineage: Eukaryota; Viridiplantae; Streptophyta; Magnoliopsida; Amborellales; Amborellaceae
Source: RefSeq, a predicted model, not a curated record
GGAACCAGGACAAUGUCUAGAUAUAUAUAUUUAUAAAUGCAAAGGUCAACAAAUAUGGCUGACUUCACUUAUUUAUAAUAAGGUCUGGAUAAUUUAUAUAUAAAUGCAAAGCUCAAUGACUAUGGCUAUGGCUUCACUUAUUUAUAGUAAGAAAGAGCAAUUGCUACUUAUAGUAAGAAAGAGCAAUUGCUACUUAUUCUAUAUGGUAUAUGCAAUUAUCCAUUAUGUCUGCAAACUCUUUUUAAGUUUCAAUGUCAGUUCUCUCACUACUCCCACGCCCAACAAGAGAUAAUCAGAGAAACUCUGAGAUAAUGGGUGUACUCUCACUAAACAAGGGUUUCUUCCUGUGUAUUCUUGCAAGCAUUAUUAUGAUUAUAGGCGUAAGUAUGGGACCUGCAGCUGGGCUCAUCCAUCAUUGCUCAGUAUGGAAAUGGAAUUAAGUGGAAGUGGGAUAGGAGCAAGGAUUGGUGUGGCACAAUAUGCAGCAGAUGUGAGAUCACUGCAUACAAUUGUGCUAGAUAUUUACAAAGGUUUCAACACUAAGCCAUUAAUGAUAGCACCAGGAGGCUUCUUUGACAUGAAUUGGUUUAGUGAACUUGUCUCUAGAACAGAGCCCCACUUGGGGAUGUGAUCACUCACCAUAUAUGUAAUCUUGGACCAGGUACAAAAAAUCCCGCUAACAUGGUGUUUAGGGAAUUGAUCGUGUGCUGUAUGGAUAACCAUGUCAAUUGAGAGUUUUCCCUUUCUUGUUUCCUUAAAACUGAACUCUCAUCCUCUAUGUACGUGACGAUGAGCAUUUAGUAGAGGAGAUCCUGGAUCCUUCUUAUCUAGAUGGAGAGGCUAACGCAUUCUGUAGCCCUCAAAAAAUCCUUUGAAGUUCUGAAACCAAGCAAAGUAUUGGGCUGGUGAAUCUGGGGUGUGGAUCACGGCGGGGGCAAUCUUGUUUCGAAUGCAUUUGUUAAUAGCUUUUGGUAACAGUUUAGCUCUUGUUAAUUUCAUGUUUCUAUCACCUUUUUCUCUUAACACAUUUAAUGUGUGUAUUGGUUUCUUUUAUCCCUACGUUCUUGUCACAAUUUCAUUAACAGGUACCUAGAUCAGCUCGCAAUGGCUGCAAAUUUUGAUACCAAGGUUUAUUGCAGACAGAGCUUGAUGGGUGGAUAUUAUGGCCUGCUCAAUGCAACCACUUAUUUACCAAAUCCCGACUAUUACAGGAUACAUUUUGUUGUGCUAAUUAAAAUCAAGUGAUCCCUGAUCUAACUUGAAUCUCACUGAUUUGUUGUAACAUAGUUAUUGGGAUUUGCAAAAGUCAAGUAUUUCUUUUGCCAACUUGGCAUUGUUAACUUGAUAGUCUCUAUGUUAUUGCAGUUCGCUCCUCUGGCACAAAGUGAUGGGAGCCAAGGUUCUCUCGACAAGCUUCUCUGGGAUGAGAAAAAUUUGAGCAUAUGCACACUGUGCUAAACAUUCAAUGCGGAUUACUUUUUCUCUCCAUUGGAGGGGAUUGCUGUGCUUUUGAUCAACCUUGAUGGCAACACCACAGUGCACUUCCGUGUCACCAUCAACAAGCACUUAACAUUAGCUCUGAAUAUGGAAAUGUGUCUCCUCAAACAAACUUCUUUAAGAUGACGCGAAUGCAAGAAUCUAAUGAAACAACCAGGGAAGAAUAUCAUCUCACUGCAAAAAAUGGAGACUUGCACACCCCAACCAUGCUUUUUAACUGGAGAACUCUCACUCUAGAUCCACAAGGUGGACUACCUUCGAUGGAGCCUAUAAGAGUAAGCUCUCAUGGAUCCAUUACUGUUGCCCCAUAUUCCAUUGUGUUUAUUCACAUGGCCUAUAUCUAUGCCAUUGCUUGUGGGUAGUGAAAGUGGCAUAUGUUAGAAUUUGAGUUCAUAUUUGAGAUUUCAAUUGGUUGUAAGCUGUAACAAAUGUGAAAUAAAGUUUAUGCAAAAGAUCCCCAGUGGGGGCUUACCUGAUUAAUAGGUGAGCAUUGUACAUGCACUUAUUAACUU